Molecule: ribosomal RNA, 482 nt
Filed under: uncultured bacterium
Lineage: Bacteria
Description: partial 16S ribosomal RNA
Rfam family: Bacterial small subunit ribosomal RNA
Source: RNAcentral
AUUGAACGCUGGCGGCAUGCCUUACACAUGCAAGUCGAACGGUAACGGGCCUUCGGGUGCCGACGAGUGGCGAACGGGUGAGUAAUACAUCGGAACGUGCCCGAUCGUGGGGGAUAACGAGGCGAAAGCUUUGCUAAUACCGCAUACGAUCUACGGAUGAAAGCAGGGGACCGCAAGGCCUUGCGCGGACGGAGCGGCCGAUGGCAGAUUAGGUAGUUGGUGGGAUAAAAGCUUACCAAGCCGACGAUCUGUAGCUGGUCUGAGAGGAUGAUCAGCCACACUGGGACUGAGACACGGCCCAGACUCCUACGGGAGGCAGCAGUGGGGAGUUUUGGACAAUGGGCGCAAGCCUGAUCCAGCCAUGCCGCGUGCAGGAUGAAGGCCUUCGGGUUGUAAACUGCUUUUGUACGGAACGAAAAGCCUUCUUUUAAUACAGGAGGGUCAUGACGGUACCGUAAGAAUAAGCACCGGCUAACUACGUG